Molecule: ribosomal RNA, 450 nt
Filed under: uncultured bacterium
Lineage: Bacteria
Description: partial 16S ribosomal RNA
Rfam family: Bacterial small subunit ribosomal RNA
Source: RNAcentral
GUGGGGAAUCUUCCGCAAUGGACGAAAGUCUGACGGAGCAACGCCGCGUGAGUGAAGAAGGUUUUCGGGUCGUAAAGCUCUUUCGUUAGGGACGAACGUGCUCUUUGUGAAUAAUGAGGAGUAAUGACGGUACCUAAAUAAGAAGCCACGGCUAACUACGUGCCAGCAGCCGCGGUAAUACGUAGGUGGCAAGCGUUGUCCGGAAUUAUUGGGCGUAAAGCGCGCGCAGGCGGGAUAUCAAGUCUGUCUUAAAAGUGCGAGGCUCAACCUCGUGAGGGGACAGAAACUGGUAUUCUUGAGUGUCGGAGAGGAAAGUGGAAUUCCAAGUGUAGCGGUGAAAUGCGUAGAGAUUUGGAAGAACACCAGUGGCGAAGGCGACUUUCUGGACGAUGUCUGACGCUGAGGCGCGAAAGCUAGGGGAGCGAACGGGAUUAGAAACCCGGGUAGUCC